AACGAACGCUGGCGGCGUGCCUAACACAUGCAAGUCGAGCGCGAAAAGGGCAACCUGAGUCGAGCGGCGCACGGGUGCGUAACACGUGGGUAAUCUGCCUUAGAGUCGAGGAUAACCUUCCGAAAGGUUGGCUAAUACUCGGUAAGCUUACGGUGUCUUCGGACGCUGUGGGAAAAGUAGGCCUCUGUUUACAAGCUUACGCUCUGAGAUGAGACCGCGGCCCAUCAGCUCGUUGGCGGUGAAACGGAACACCAAGGCAACGACGGGUAGCUGGUCUGAGAGAACGAUCAGCCACACGGGAACUGGGACACGGUCCAGACUACUACGGGAGGCAGCAGUGGGGAAGUUUCCACAAUGGGCGAAAGCCUGAUUGAGCAACGCCGCGUGUGUGAUGAAGGUUUUCGGAUCGUAAAGCACUUUCGACCGGGACGAAAAACCUCUGGCUAACAUCCAGGGGCCUGACGGUACCGGGAGAAGAAGCACCGGCUAACUCUGUGCCAGCCGCCGCCGUAA
Molecule: ribosomal RNA, 513 nt
Filed under: uncultured bacterium
Lineage: Bacteria
Description: partial 16S ribosomal RNA
Rfam family: Bacterial small subunit ribosomal RNA
Source: RNAcentral